This 401-nucleotide ribosomal RNA is filed under the name uncultured bacterium. Its description in RNAcentral is "bacterial SSU rRNA". It matches the Rfam family "Bacterial small subunit ribosomal RNA", at positions 358 to 773 of the family's 1533-position model. The record is from RNAcentral.
AGAAUCAUUCACAAUGGGGGAAACCCUGAUGGUGCGACGCCGCGUGAGUGAAGAAGUAUUUCGGUAUGUAAAGCUCUAUCAGCAGGGAAGAAAGAAAUGACGGUACCUGACUAAGAAGCCCCGGCUAACUACGUGCCAGCAGCCGCGGUAAUACGUAGGGGGCAAGCGUUAUCCGGAAUUACUGGGUGUAAAGGGAGCGUAGACGGUUAAGUAAGUCUGGAGUGAAAGGCUGGGGCCCAACCCCGGGACUGCUCUGGAAACUAUUUAACUUGAGUGCAGGAGAGGUAAGCGGAAUUCCUAGUGUAGCGGUGAAAUGCGUAGAUAUUAGGAGGAACACCAGUGGCGAAGGCGGCUUACUGGACUGUAACUGACGUUGAGGCUCGAAAGCGUGGGGAGCAAAC